AGCAACGGACUCUUAAUCCGUGGGUCCAGGGUUCGAUCCCCUGGCCACCCA
Molecule: non-coding RNA, 51 nt
Organism: Lactobacillus kefiranofaciens subsp. kefirgranum
Lineage: Bacteria; Bacillati; Bacillota; Bacilli; Lactobacillales; Lactobacillaceae
Source: Rfam